This 533-nucleotide ribosomal RNA is filed under the name uncultured bacterium. Its description in RNAcentral is "partial 16S ribosomal RNA". It matches the Rfam family "Bacterial small subunit ribosomal RNA", at positions 346 to 894 of the family's 1533-position model. The record is from RNAcentral.
AGGGGGGGGAAAUGUUUUUUUUUGGAAGGGGGCAAGCCCCAGAGAUCCUACGUGUGGGAAGGCCACAAACCCUUUGGGAAUUAACCCCCUUUUGGAGGGGGGAAAAUUUGACGGUCCCCCCGAAAAAAGCCCCGCCUAAUUCUGUCCCACCAGCCGGGGUAAUACGUAGGGGCCAAGCUUUUUCCGGAUUUUUUGGGGGUAAAGGGCGCGCAGGGGGUUGUUUAAUUCGGGGGUGAAAUCCCCGGGUUCAACCGGGGGAGGUCGUUGGAAACUGCCGGCCUGGAGUCCGGAAGAGGGAAGUGGAAUUCCCGGGGUAGGGGUGAAAUGCGUAGAUUUCGGGGGGAACCCCGGUGGGGAAGGGGGCUUCCUGGCCCGUACCUGACGUUGAGGCGCGAAAGCGUGGGGAGCAACCGGGAUUAGAUACCCCGGGUAUUCCCCCCCUUAAACGAUGGCCCCUAGGUGUGGGGGGUAUCGACCCCUUCCCGUGCCGCAGCUAACGCAUUAAGCGCCCCGCUGGGAGUACGGCCGCAGGU